GUCCUCAUAGCUCAGCUGGAUAGAGCACACGCCUUCUAAGCGUGCGGUCAAUGGUUCGAAUCCAUUUGGGGACGCCA
This 77-nucleotide transfer RNA is filed under the name Bacillota bacterium. Its description in RNAcentral is "tRNA-Arg". It matches the Rfam family "tRNA". From Rfam's summary of the family: Transfer RNA (tRNA) molecules are approximately 80 nucleotides in length. Their secondary structure includes four short double-helical elements and three loops (D, anti-codon, and T loops). Lineage: Bacteria; Bacillati; Bacillota. The record is from RNAcentral.